This 624-nucleotide ribosomal RNA is filed under the name Rhodotorula diobovata. Its description in RNAcentral is "eukaryotic LSU rRNA". The stretch from base 194 to 347 matches the Rfam family "5.8S ribosomal RNA". The record is from RNAcentral. Lineage: Eukaryota; Fungi; Basidiomycota; Microbotryomycetes; Sporidiobolales; Sporidiobolaceae.
AUUUCCCUAGGUGAACCUGCGGAAGGAUCAUUAGUGAAACUAGGACGUCCAACUUAACUUGGAGUCCCAACUCUCACUUUCUAACCCUGUGCAUCUGUUUUAAAAAUGGCUAGUAGCUCUUCGGAGCGAACCACCAUUUUUCACUUAUACAAACACAAAGUCUAUGAAAGUAAACAAAAUUAUAACAAAACAAAACUUUCAACAACGGAUCUCUUGGCUCUCGCAUCGAUGAAGAACGCAGCGAAAAGCGAUACGUAAAGUGAAAUGCAGAAAUCAGUGAAUCAUCGAAACUUUGAACGCACCUUGCGCUCCUUGGUAUUCCCAGGAGCAUGCCUGUUUGAGUGUCAUGAAAACUUCAACCCACCUCUUUCUUAGUGAAACUGGUGGUGCUUGGUUUCUGAGCGCUGCUCUGCUUCGGCUUAGCUCGUUCGUAAAGCAUUAGCAUCCCCAACCCAAACUUCGGAUUGACUUGGCGUAAAAGACUAUUCGCUGAGGAUUCCAGACUUGUUCUGGAGCCCAGUUGGGUUAAAGGAAGCUUCUAAACCUAAAGUCUAUUUUUUGAUUAGAUCUCAAAACAGGUAGGACUACCCCCUGAACUUAAGCAUAUCAAAAAGCGGAGGAAAA